UUUUUAAACCUUUCUGGAGGAGCUUGCUAUUAAACCGAUAACCCACGUUACACCUCACCAAUCUUUGAAAAAUCAACCUGUAUACCAUCGUCCUCAGUACACCUUCCAAAAGAAGUCCACAAAAAGAAUAUUUAAUAUCCCUUCUUUACGUCAGAUCGAGGUGCAGUUUAUAGAUUGGGAAUAAGUGAGCUACAAUAUUUCCAAUAAAAAUAAUCAAAACACAAUUAUGGAUAAAAAUAUGAAAAAUAAUUUAAAAUAGAAUUCAGAAGUAAUAAAAGAAAGAAAAAUUUUAUGAAAAAUAUUAGCUCUAAAAUACGU
Molecule: ribosomal RNA, 318 nt
Filed under: Diplopteraster multipes
Lineage: Eukaryota; Metazoa; Echinodermata; Asteroidea; Velatida; Pterasteridae
Description: partial 12S ribosomal RNA
Source: RNAcentral